GAUGAACGCUGGCGGCGUGCCUAAUACAUGCAAGUCGAACGGAGCUAAACAGCAAUGGAUAGCUUAGUGGCGAACGGGUGAGAAACGCGUUGGUGACCUGCCCUAAAGCGGGGGAUAACAGAUCGAAAGGUUUGCUAAUACCGCGUAAUGUGAUCGAGGUUAGGUGCUUGAUCAAGGAAGCUGAGAAGCGCUUUAGGAGGGACCUGCGUCCCAUCAGCUAGUUGGUGAGGUAGAGGCUCACCAAGGCGAUGACGGGUAGGGGACCUGAGAGGGUGACCCCCCACAAUGGAACUGAAACACGGUCCAUACACCUACGGGUGGCAGCAGUAGGGGAUAUUGGGAAUGGGCGGAAGCCUGACCCAGCAACGCCGCGUGAACGAUGAAGGCCUUCGGGUUGUAAAGUUCUUUUGACUGGGAAGAGAGAGGACGGUACCAGUCGAAUAAGUCUCGGCUAACUACGUGCCAGCAGCCGCGGUAACACGUAGGAGACGAGCGUUAUCCGGAAUUACUGGGUGUAAAGCGCGUGCAGGCGGCAUGGCAAGAUGGAUGUAAAAGCCCCCGGCUUAACUGGGGGAGGUCGUCCGUGACUGCCAGGCUAGAGGGUAGUAGAGGUAGGCGGAAUUCCGAGUGUAGCGGUAAAAUGCAUAGAUAUUCGGAAGAACACCAGUGGCGAAGGCGGCCUUCUGGACUACAACUGACGCUCAGACGCGAAAGCCAGGGUAGCAAACGGGAUUAGAGACCCCGGUAGUCCUGGCAGUAAACGAUGUGGACAUGGCGUAGGGGGGUUCAAAUCCCUUUGUGCCGGAGCAAACGCGAUAAGUCCACCACCUGGGGACUACGGCCGCAAGGUUAAAACUCAAAGGAAUUGACGGGGGCCCGCACAAGCAGCGGAGCGUGUGGUUUAAUUCGAUGCUACACGAAGAACCUUACCAGGGUUUGACAUACACAUGGUAGAGACGUGAAAGCGUCUUGACCCUUCGGGGAGUGUGAACAGGUGUUGCAUGGCUGUCGUCAGCUCGUGUCGUGAGAUGUUCGGUUAAGUCCGCUAACGAGCGCAACCCACAUUGCGUGUUACAAGUGUCACGCGACACUGCCGGUCUUAAGCCGGAGGAAGGUGUGGACGACGUCAAGUCAGCAUGACCUAUAUAUCCUGGGCUACACACACGCUACAAUGGCCGGUACAACGGGUAGCGAAGCCGCGAGGCGGAGCCAAUCCAGAAAGCCGGUCUCAGUUCAGAUUACAGGCUGCAACCCGCCUGUAUGAAGAUGGAGUUGCUAGUAACCGCAGGUCAGCUAUACUGCGGUGAAUACGUUCCCGGGCCUUGUACACACCGCCCGUCACGUCAUGGGAGCUGGCAACACCUGAAGCCGGUAUCCGAACCGCAAGGGAGGAGCCGUCGAGGGUGGGGCUGGUGACUGGGACG
Molecule: ribosomal RNA, 1424 nt
Filed under: uncultured bacterium
Lineage: Bacteria
Description: bacterial SSU rRNA
Rfam family: Bacterial small subunit ribosomal RNA
Source: RNAcentral